Molecule: ribosomal RNA, 425 nt
Filed under: uncultured bacterium
Lineage: Bacteria
Description: bacterial SSU rRNA
Rfam family: Bacterial small subunit ribosomal RNA
Source: RNAcentral
GGGGAAUCUUCCGCAAUGGACGAAAGUCUGACGGAGCAACGCCGCGUGUACGAAGAAGGCCUUCGGGUUGUAAAGUACUGUUGUUGGGGAAGAACGGCUAGUGUGUGAAUAAUGCAUUAGAAUGACGGUACCCAACGAGGAAGCCCCGGCUAACUACGUGCCAGCAGCCGCGGUAAUACGUAGGGGGCGAGCGUUGUCCGGAAUUAUUGGGCGUAAAGGGCGCGUAGGCGGCCGUUUAAGUCUGAUGUGAAAGUGCGGUGCUUAACGCCGUAGAGCAUUGGAAACUGGACGGCUUGAGGACAGGAGAGGAAAGUGGAAUUCCUAGUGUAGCGGUGAAAUGCGUAGAUAUUAGGAGGAACACCAGUGGCGAAGGCGACUUUCUGGACUGUAACUGACGCUGAGGCGCGAAAGCGUGGGGAGCAAAC